AGAUUCUCAAAUGAAUUGGCGGGGGGGCGCACAAGCAGCGGAGCAUGUGGUUUAAUUCGAAGCAACGCGAAGAACCUUACCUAGACUUGACAUCUCCUGAAUUACCCUUAACCGGGGAAGCCCUUCGGGGCAGGAAGACAGGUGGUGCAUGGUUGUCGUCAGCUCGUGUCGUGAGAUGUUGGGUUAAGUCCCGCAACGAGCGCAACCCUUAUUUUUAGUUGCUACCAUUUGGUUGAGCACUCCAAAGAGACUGCCCGGGUUAACCGGGAGGAAGGUGGGGAUGACGUCAAAUCAUCAUGCCCCUUAUGUCUAGGGCUACACACGUGCUACAAUGGUGAGAACAAAGAGACGCGAGACCGCGAGGUGGAGCAAAUCUCAUAAAACUCAUCCCAGUUCGGAUUGCAGGCUGAAACUCGCCUGCAUGAAGCCGGAGUUGCUAGUAAUCGCGAAUCAGCAUGUCGCGGUGAAUACGUUCCCGCCUCUUGCACACACCGCCCGAAUCUGAUCCCCGAU
Molecule: ribosomal RNA, 513 nt
Filed under: Clostridium beijerinckii
Lineage: Bacteria; Bacillati; Bacillota; Clostridia; Eubacteriales; Clostridiaceae
Description: bacterial SSU rRNA
Rfam family: Bacterial small subunit ribosomal RNA
Source: RNAcentral